This is a small nucleolar RNA of Clarias gariepinus (North African catfish), 212 nucleotides long. RefSeq annotates it as small nucleolar RNA U3. The transcript has a single exon. Lineage: Eukaryota; Metazoa; Chordata; Actinopteri; Siluriformes; Clariidae. The record is from RefSeq and is a predicted model, not a curated record.
AAGACUAUACUUUCAGGGAUCAUUUCUAUAGUAUUUAACUAGGAAAUGUGAUUAGAAAGUGUUACGUCUCCCUAUUCACGAUGAUGAGCUUUGAUGUAUUCCUCUGAGCGUGAAGCGGAUUGUAGCUAGUGCUUUUUGCAUGUGCUAUGAUCAUUGAUGAACGUUCUAUGUCUUUUUAAGGCAGUAGAGGAGGAGUACAUGAUCAGAGUGAU